GGAGGCCUGGAGGAGCAAGCAGCAAGCUAAAGCUGCCAGGUACCCAGCCGGAGAAUUUUCCACCAUCUAAUUUCUAUCUGGGUUGCCUGGCAGUCAGUGGGACUGAGUGUGAUUGGAAAGCAAGCAAUACAGGAGGCUACAACGGAGGACAAACUUGUACAGUUCCCAGCAUGGGUGGUGGAAGUCGUCAGAAGGAAUGGAGAACGAUAGAGACACCAAGAUCAUGUGUAGUGAAGGAGAAGAACUGUCAACUAUAAUUCAAUUCCAAGAACAGUGCAAAAACUUACAAAACAGUAAUUGCUGAUCCAAGAAAGCAAGGAAAUCAGCUCCAGCACGGAAAAAAAAACCUCAAAAGAAAACCAGCAGCAUUUACAGCCACAAUCCUCUCCAGUCCACCAUUUUAUUGUUUGUCUAUUGCUGUUUCAGAUGUUACUAUCCUCUGAUGCAAUAUUAGAUAAAGCCUGUUCCAAAUACACAAAGAAUGAACAUUUUGUACAGUGUAGUAUUCCAAACACCCAUUUCCAUAGCCACUGAUUCAGCAGCCAAUUCAAAUAAGCUCAGACAUGCAAAGAUAAUGAAUACUGGACUGUCAAAGGCAUUGAUAAAGAAUGUUAACAACUCUCUGAAUAAAGCAUAUUUAAAAAUCCUUAUCAGCAUAUAAUAUAUCCUCAGCUUAUUCUCACGGGUAAAGAAAUUAUUUAUUGCCCAUUUCCAUUAGCCCUUGAACAGGUGAGUUCAGUUUUCUUCCUGAACCACUGCAGUCCACAUGGAAGGUAUCCUCCAUUCAACAGAGUGUUAGUAAAUUGUGUAGGACCAUUGCCAAAAACGAAAGGGCGACACUGGUAUAUGCACACAAUUCUGGAUAUGACAACCUGAUUUCCAAACUUUGAGGAUAAUUACAGCUAAGAUGGUCACCCUUUUCAAG
Molecule: non-coding RNA, 925 nt
Organism: Chiloscyllium plagiosum (whitespotted bambooshark)
Lineage: Eukaryota; Metazoa; Chordata; Chondrichthyes; Orectolobiformes; Hemiscylliidae
Source: RefSeq, a predicted model, not a curated record